Molecule: long non-coding RNA, 2178 nt
Organism: Lutra lutra (Eurasian river otter)
Lineage: Eukaryota; Metazoa; Chordata; Mammalia; Carnivora; Mustelidae
Exons: 3
Source: RefSeq, a predicted model, not a curated record
AUCAAUUUUUAAGUCACUCCCAUACAUAAAAUCCUUCAAUGGCUUCCCAUUAUACAGUAAAUAAAAUCCAAAAUCUUAACUUGGCCUAUAGAGCUCUGGUGUCUGUGAACCAGCACAGUACACCAAAUGUGACCUUGCUUCAGGACCUUUGCACCUGGAGCUCCCUCCACCUGGAAUCCUCUGCCCCCCAGAUCUUGUCAAGUCUGGCUCCCACAAAUCAGUUAGGUCUCAAAUCAAUACCUCUCUCCUCCAAGAGGCCUGCCCCACGGCCCAGCUCUCUCUCUCCCUAGCUGCUUGAUUUUCUUCAAAGUGUUUAUCUCUUUCUGAGAAUAUCUUAUUUACUUAUUUCUUUACUUGUUUUUUGUCUGGCUCUCCACAUACAAAUGCAAGCUUUGCGAGGGUCUCGGCCACUUAGGAUAGGGAAACCCAAUAACUAGCAACUCCACCCCCAGCCCCACCUAAAGAGAGAGAGUGGGGGGUAGAAGUCAGGCAGGGGAACGCAGAAGUAUGACUUUAUCCCUGUAAGAAUUGAUCAUGGGGAAUGUGACUUCUCUUUGCCAAAAAAAGGAACUUCCUCACCCUGAAUGCCUGAAUCAGAGAGAUUUGUCCAUCCCUGGAGAACCACAGGCCACAUCCUGGGUCAGGCCCCUUUUUUCACACAUCAAGGAGUAAAGCAGGCCGGCUCUGUAGAGGAGGCUGAGAUGCUAGCCGGGGAAUAAGAGGGGCGAAAGACAUGGGGACUGUUGUGCAACAUUCUCACUCUCUCUACAAGAAACAUCCCAGCCUAACGUCAUCCAAGCACCUUCACCGGUUUCUGGCACAUAGUGGGAGCUCUUCAACUAUCUGGUGAAUGAAUGAUAGUCUAAUUCAAAUAAAUCAAUAUCACAUUGUAUAUACCUACUACACCACCUUAGAGUCUUUUCCACCUGGAAUGUUCCCUCCCUCCCCUCUCCCAUCUUGUCCAGCCUGGCUCCCAUGUGUCAGUCAGAUGUCAGCUCAGUGGCCCCCUCCUCAGAGAGGCAUACCCUGAGCCCCCAGGCUGUCUCUCCCUCAUUACCCUGCUUUGUCUCUCCCCACUGACACAUUCUAAAGAGAUUGUAUGGUUUUGUACUAAUAAGCAUGAGAAGGGGUGCAUCUUUUUUUCUUGUUUUGCACCAUGACACACACAAGACCAUGUCUGAGAUUCUGGGCUCGAUUCUGAAUAUGAUUCUGGAUGAGCUGGAGAUUCCCAAAGAGAAGGGAAACUAUGGGGAAUUGAUCACCAUUUGCACACAAAUGAGGACCAACCAGGGCUUCUUUUUUUUUUUUUAAUAAACAACAAUAAAGCAAUGCUGUGCAUCACACCUUCAGUUAUAUAAAGACCUACUCAGUAAGUUACUUUUCAAGACUCUUUAGGAAAAUAAAAGAUUCGGUCCAGCAGGAUUCAAAUAUAAUAGCCUUGCCAAACAAUUUACUCAAAGAAACACAUUUCAGUUAAUUUUUGUUGAUGUUCUUUCCAACAUUCUCUGGCUUGAAGGAUAAGCUUCGGAUUCUGAAAUACCUAUAUAACUGACAUAAAUUGUGUUGUUGUUGUUUUUUAAUCUACAAAUCUACUCAUGACUGAUGAAUAACUCCUCUUGCUUUCAUCAACGUUUGCCAAGCCCACGGUGGUAAAUGGUACCCAUCAGAAGGCAUGAGCAGAAGUGUGCUGACAGUGACAAGCCAGCUCUGCCAGGGCAAUGAGCACUGGGAACCUUCAAAUGAUUUUGAAAUUAGAGAAGGCCAAGGCACCCAAGAGGUGACCCAAGAGAAUAGACAGAAGCGAACUGGCUAAGAUGCUAAGGCUUGACGGGUCCCUGCAAGACACAGGCACAUUCUCAACCAGGAUGUGAGAAACUGAACCAAGGGACCAUUUACAGAGGUCAGGACUCCCAGGCAUGAAGAGGUAAGUAGCUCGCCUAAGGAUCCCAUAGCUAAUGAAUGACAGGACUGGGGUUGCACCCACAGAGUGGGGCUCUAGGGCCCUUCGCCCUUGUACAGUGGUGGUAUGACCUCUCAGGCAUGCACACAUUUACUGAUUUUCACACCGGACCCCAGGUUUCCUACCAGGAGAGGUGUAAGGAUGUCUUACACACAAGCCCCAUGCUUAAUGACUUAACAGCUACAAAAGGGGCACAAUUCACCCUAAAACCAUGGCAG